GCAGUCGUGGCCGAGUGGUUAAAGCGAUGGACUAGAAAUCCAAUGGGGAGACCCCAAUGGAUUUCCUGUCGACUGCA
Molecule: transfer RNA, 77 nt
Filed under: Ixodes scapularis (black-legged tick)
Lineage: Eukaryota; Metazoa; Arthropoda; Arachnida; Ixodida; Ixodidae
Rfam family: tRNA
About the family: Transfer RNA (tRNA) molecules are approximately 80 nucleotides in length. Their secondary structure includes four short double-helical elements and three loops (D, anti-codon, and T loops).
Source: Rfam by way of RNAcentral